UUUUGAACAAUUCUUGAGAGAGAAAAAAAACAGUGAUUCUUUUACGUCCUGACGCAAUAACGUCCGUACGUCUUUGCCUUGCGUGCUUUAAAAUAUUCCGAUAAAGCCAUAUUAGGUUUUUGUAAAACCAUGUCAUUUAGGAUACGCGUUAAUAAAAUUAUCAAACAAUCGUCGUAAAUACAUUUAUUUUGUAACAUUACUGCUCUUUGGCCACUAAUGUAACUUUUAGCGCGGUAAAAAUAAAUAAAUAAAUAACAAUAAUAAUUGUAAGCACGAGCUUUUGAUUCGGGAACAGCUUGGACCGAUUAGUGGAGCCAGGAAAUGAUCAGACUGGUUUUGGGAACCGCGUUAAGUGAUUCAAUGAGAAGAUUAACCUCAAAAGAAACCACGCUUUCAAUCGCGGGAAUUUCUACAAACGCUGGAAUCUCCCCCUUCACACGGAGGGAUUUUAUAUGAUGUCAUGACGCGGGAAGGCAAAACGCACACAUCCACUGACACAGCUGUAAUACAUUCCCACGCAAGCGAGACCACCAUCCCGCCUGAAAAGCCUGGACAUCCGUAGUGAAACAUGUCUGGAAUCGGCUUUCUGAAGAUCUACUUCAUUGGAACCGCGGUUUCUUUUCUGGUGGCUCUGUUUGGACUGGUUGAUUCAGUCGGGGGUCUGAUGUAUCCUCAAGCCCCAGACUGGGCAGACGACAGCUGGACAGAGAAGCAUCCGACCGUGUCUCCAUCACAGACUGCUGCUGCCAGCAACACCAAGCGCAACGGAUCGACAUGAUCUUCUCCGCUACCGUGGCUCGAGAGUCUAGCCUCGGGAAUAAUAGCCUCGGUUUACUGACCUACUAAAGCCUACUGUGGAACUACAAUCUUCUACAAUUUUCACUACUGCGGUCUGUGUCGUGUGAAAUAUGAGACAUGAACACAAUGGCUUGUGAGGUGCCAGCUCUUCACACUCGUUACGUUUUUACUUUGUUAUUCUGGUUUCUGCAAAAACUUUAAAUGAAAAAAGGGAAAAAUUCUUCCGGAGAGGUUGAAAGCAUAAAAAUACUACAAAUAUGCAACAUGAAUUUGCUGGGCUGCCUUGGAAUAUUGAAAUCCCUCUGUGGUCGAUUGUUUUUGUAAUGGGUUUUAAGUAGUUUUUGUAAUGUUUGUUCCUUUUUUAUAUGCCGUUUAUAUGAAGAUAAAUGUAACACUCAGAAUGUAAACAUAUGUGUAAGAUGCUGUUUACCAUGAGCAACUGUGGCAUUAGGCAGCAAAAAGUGCACUCCCAAUAUGGCUAAAGGGUGUCUAAAAGAUAUCAGCUAGAUAUCUUUCAAAUAGAUAAGUUGGGUUAUGUUACUGAAAUUCACUGUUUUGUAUUGAACUGAAUACAAUGUAUACAGUUGCAUUGUACAUCACUAAAGCAGCCUGUUUUUGUGCUCUAAAAAGUUGUCAAUUUUAAUUAGAAAAAUUUCCAUUUGCUAAACUUUCAAAUUACUUAUUUCUAGUCAUAUUUUUGCUAAACUUUGUGUGUUGUGAACUUGUGAUCAUAACUGUUUAUUGUGAAAUGUUGUUAAUGGUGUGGAUUUUCCAUUGAAAUACUCUCGUCUUUACCUUUUACAUGUCUUUGAAAAGCUGUAAAUUGCAAAUUGGCAGCUUUGGAAAAAAAAAAAACCUGUCAUAGAUGAUUAAACAACAUUACUAUA
Carassius auratus (goldfish) is the source of this 1685-nucleotide long non-coding RNA. RefSeq lists it as uncharacterized. The transcript has 2 exons. The record is from RefSeq and is a predicted model, not a curated record. NCBI's taxonomy places the organism in Eukaryota, Metazoa, Chordata, Actinopteri, Cypriniformes, Cyprinidae.